RNAcentral lists this ribosomal RNA (208 nucleotides) under uncultured bacterium. RNAcentral describes it as "partial 16S ribosomal RNA". It matches the Rfam family "Bacterial small subunit ribosomal RNA", at positions 568 to 774 of the family's 1533-position model. The record is from RNAcentral.
CGCGCAGGCGGUCGUUCAAGUCGCGUGUGAAAGCCCCCGGCUCAACUGGGGAGGGUCACGCGAUACUGAUCGACUCGAAGGCAGGAGAGGGUAGUGGAAUUCCCGGUGUAGUGGUGAAAUGCGUAGAUAUCGGGAGGAACACCAGUGGCGAAGGCGACUACCUGGCCUGUUUCUUGACGCUGAGGCGCGAAAGCUAGGAGAGCAAACG